Molecule: RNA transcript, 3481 nt
Organism: Tribolium madens (black flour beetle)
Lineage: Eukaryota; Metazoa; Arthropoda; Insecta; Coleoptera; Tenebrionidae
Exons: 6
Source: RefSeq, a predicted model, not a curated record
UUCUGGGUACUGCCACUGUGUCUUCUAUUGUUUUAAGUACCACCACCGUGCCUAGUCAUCAAGAGAGCACUUGCUAUGCUCUUCUAACUUCAUCUGCAAGCAAUAUACAUUUUGAUAGAGAUGUAGAGCAAGACGUUGUCAUCCAUGAGAAAUCUUCAGAUAUUCACAUCGGCGAGCUACCUGUCUGCAGUCAAAUUUCUCAAUGUUUACCCACAUCUCCAGCAACGUCCCCUGCUACUCCUUCGGCUUCUCUUGGAAAUUUCGAAACUCCAAGGAUAAAAUACGAUUUCAGUUCGGAUGAAAAACCUUUUCUUGCAAGUGGCAGUUCAGAUGAGUACGUCUCGUCCACCACCUCCGACGACGAAGAGGAGACUCCUUGUAAAGGCAAGGAUUUACGUUCUCAAAUUUCACCAACUUCAAAUGUAAGUGAACACGAUCUUGGCUUUGAAGGAGUAGUAGAAAAGCUUUUUACGGAUCAAUAUGUUUCAUCUGCCCCCAACAAAUUGGUGCGACGAAAUCUUUUGAGUGCCUUCCUCAGAAUUGAUACAGAAACGGGUAUGGCAACAUUUGAAAUGCGAAAACCUCUGCACGCUGGAAAUUUUGACAGCCACUGCAUGACCGAAGGUAAAAAUGUGUACAUUUUUGUUGAACAAUUUGGGCAACUGGAUAAUCAUACCUGUAAAUCUCUCCCAGAACAUGUGUAAACUCGAACGGUGACUGUGCUCCUUCGAAAAAACAUCACUGAUUGCCAACUCGAACUUAGCUCUUUUGUUUGGACAAGGCCUAUUCUUUAGCAGGAGAAGAAGUUUUGCUACCAGAUUGUUCACGCGUAGUACUGUUUAAAUUAUCCCAAACACAAGUUGAAUCGCUUCGCCCAAAACCAGUUGUUUCUCAUAGUGGUAAAAAGGAGCAGUGCUGUCUCUACUGCAAAAAGAUGUAUGUGGAAAUUUCGUGUCAUUUGUUACAAAUGCAUAGGUCAGAAUCUAAAGUCAUCAAAAUUUCGAAAAUUAAUUUUAAAAGUAAGGAACGAAAAGAUGCUUUGAAAGCGCUUCGUUUAGAAGGAGAUCAUCAGUACAAUUUAAGCGUAUUUCCUGAGCAACGAGUACCACUUCGAACAUUCAAAUUGACAAACAUUAAAGAUGGCGUUAUUUGUCCACAUUGUCACGGAUUAUUUGCUGUUAGAAAUUUUGCAAGACACGAACGCGCUUGCAGCAGUAGAAAUUCCGAUCAUAGGCGAGUACUAAAAGCUGCUCUAGAAAUCCAGUCAGCCUAUAGAUAAAAAAAUACGGAACGGUCUCAAAAAGAUCAAUUCCAUAUGGACUCUUUAGAAACGUCACUUAUAGCCGCUUUGAUAUCUCCUAUAAGAGAAGAUGAUUAAACAUGAAAUUGUCUCGGACAAGUGCUUAAAGUUGUUGGCAAAAAAGUUUGCUUUUAGACAUAGGAAUGCCCCAGGCGCUUUAAAAAACGAUCGACAGCAUUUGCGGCGAAUGAGUCGGUUAUUUUUGAUGCUUAAGGAAAUGGAUCCGCCUAUCAUUGAUUUCGAGGACUGUAUUUGUAACGUUGCUUAUGACGCUUUAACAGAGGCUGUGUGUAAAAUGUGCAACAUAGACGGCUCGAAAGGCAGUUUUGAAAAAGCACCACUGGCCAAAGCCUUAAGAUUUACGAUUACAGAGCUUGUACAAUGCUUAAGAGUGGAUUAUAUUAAAAAUAAAAUUUCGGAAGAGUCUAAUCAGUACAAAGGAUUGUUGGCAUUUUUAGAUCUUCACACUUCACAAUACGGAAUAUACAUUGGCAGUUCAGCAUCGAGGACACAUCUUGAGCUGCGGGCCAAAAAAAAAAGAACGAACUGCCUUCUCCUGCAGAUAUAAAAAAAAUUCUACUUAUAUUUGCAAUGAAGCAAGAAGGGCUUUCAAUAAAUUAACUUCAAACGAAGAAUUUGAUUACAAUGCUUGGCUAAGCCUUGGAAAAGCCGAAAUGGCUAAAAUUAUUUUAUUUAAUAGAAGAAGAGUGACUGAAGUGGCGGCUAUGUCAUUGGAUCUUUUCAAAAAUCGAAUUUCAUUACAAGAUCAUCAUAAACAGCAGUUAAAUCUUCACCAGAGAGUUAAUGCGGAGCAAUACAGAAUCAUGACUUUGAUAGGGAAACGAUCCCAUAUUUUGCAUGUUCUUAUCGAACAGGAGCAGUGCACCCACUUAGAAAAAUUUACAGAACUUCGUAAUAAGGCAGGUGUUUCUGAUUCUAAUAAAUAUUUAUUUGGAAUACCCUCCGAUGUAAUGUACAUUGAUGCCUCCAACGUUUUACGAGAAUUUUCCUUUAAGUGUGGUGCGACGCGUCCGGAUUUGUUAAGAACAACGUAUUUGCGAAAACAAGUCGCAACUUUGGCUCAGGUUCUCAACUUGAAUGACAAUCAAAUAGCUCAAGUUGCAGCUUUAAUGGGUCACAGUCAAAAAGUACACGAGCAAAUUUACAAGCAAGACGAUCAUUUGUUUCAAGUUACCGCUUGGACUAAAUUUCUAUCUAUAGCCCGAGACGAAGACAUCACAUCUUACAAAGGAAAAACGUUUAAAGAAGUAUUGACCUCUAUUGAGAACACGGAGGUUCCAGAUGUUGGUCCAGCAGACGAGAAUCAUUUCACUCUGGACGAAUUAUUAAAUGUUGAAGAAAUGGCAGUACUAGAAACUUCAACAAACAUCAGAAGUGAUACCGCCGUAACACUAUACUGAGCCACAAACCCCUCGAAAGAGACCUGGGUUAGCUGCUAGGACAACUUCAAGGUCUGGAAGUUCUAGGUCAUCAAUAACACUUAGGAAAUUUAAGCUUGAAACACCUAUAAAGUCCCUUCCGAAAUAUAGAAAAAAAAAAAACGAUUUUCACACGUAAAGAAAUCGACACAAUGACUGGUUGUUUCGCUGAAUACAUCACAGCAGGCAGUUUAGCACCAAUGCGUAUUUGUGAUGAAGUGGUUGCUACGCAUAAAGAAAUUUUUUGUGGUCAACGCAGAGGCCGAGACUUGUACAAUUGGGUCCAGUAUCAGCGAAAUAAACGAAGAUCUCAAAAUUACAAGUAAUAAGAAUGUUCGCUAUGGUGAUGUUUUUCUGCGUACCUCCACCCUGUUUACCACUGACUGGUGCCGCCACUGGGUUUAUUACGACUUCGCGAUUUGCGCUAUAAAUGCACACUGCUGCGUGUCUUGUGUCCUGUUUCUGAGCAUACCGUUAUCAUGUCGACAACUGCUGGUGCCGCCACUGUGUUUAUGCUGCUUCUAAGGGUGCCGCCAAUGUGUUGCUGCUUCUGGGCAUACUGCCAUAAAUGAUUUACAUUUGAGUUAUUGUUCCAACACACUGCAGCGUGUCUUGUGUUCCUGCUUCUAAGCGUACCGCCAUCGUGUCUAAAACUGCUGGUGCCGCCACUGUGUUUAUGCUCCUUCUAAGCGUGCCAUCAUCCGUCUCUGUCUUUGAGUUAUUGUUUCAUUUAAAUUAAUUU